RNAcentral lists this ribosomal RNA (383 nucleotides) under uncultured bacterium. Its description in RNAcentral is "bacterial SSU rRNA". It matches the Rfam family "Bacterial small subunit ribosomal RNA", at positions 28 to 413 of the family's 1533-position model. The record is from RNAcentral.
GACGAACGCUGGCGGCGUGCUUAACACAUGCAAGUCGAGCGGUAAGGCCCUUUCGGGGGUACACGAGCGGCGAACGGGUGAGUAACACGUGGGUGACCUGCCCUUAGCUCUGGGAUAAGCCUGGGAAACUGGGUCUAAUACCGGAUAUGACUCCAUGACGCAUGUUGUGGGGUGGAAAGCCUUGUGCGGCUAGGGAUGGGCCCGCGGCCUAUCAGCUUGUUGGUGGGGUGAUGGCCUACCAAGGCGACGACGGGUAGCCGGCCUGAGAGGGCGACCGGCCACACUGGGACUGAGACACGGCCCAGACUCCUACGGGAGGCAGCAGUGGGGAAUCUUGCACAAUGGGCGAAAGCCUGAUGCAGCGACGCCGCGUGGGGACGAAU